GCUUAUUGCCUGGGCUACAAACAGAGGACUCUGUUCCUAUUCCUUGCGCCCAGGGGAAAGUCCCCGGACCUCCGGCAGAGAGUGUCACUUGCGCGCGCAAGUCGACCUUCCCCGCAUCUCACCUGAGAUUAAAGAGAAAAAAAUUUAAGUGACUCCUAUUAACAUGAAUGCCUCAUUCCCUCCUGCAUAAAGCAUCAGCAGAAGAGACAAUAUAUUUUUAAAGGCCAUUUGAGUAUAAUUAUAGUUCAUGUUUGCCAGACAGGUAAACAUACAGAAUGGAGC
This 282-nucleotide RNase MRP RNA is filed under the name Sorex araneus (European shrew). RNAcentral describes it as "RNase MRP (ENSSARG00000017682.1)". It matches the Rfam family "RNase MRP", at positions 14 to 250 of the family's 266-position model. Rfam says of the family: RNase MRP is an enzymatically active ribonucleoprotein with two distinct roles in eukaryotes. The record is from RNAcentral. Lineage: Eukaryota; Metazoa; Chordata; Mammalia; Eulipotyphla; Soricidae.